RNAcentral lists this ribosomal RNA (287 nucleotides) under Anoxybacillus sp. ST4. RNAcentral's name for it is "partial 16S ribosomal RNA". It matches the Rfam family "Bacterial small subunit ribosomal RNA", at positions 1249 to 1533 of the family's 1533-position model. Lineage: Bacteria; Bacillati; Bacillota; Bacilli; Caryophanales; Anoxybacillaceae. The record is from RNAcentral.
GCGAACCCGCGAGGGGGAGCCAAUCCCAAAAAGCCGCUCUCAGUUCGGAUUGCAGGCUGCAACUCGCCUGCAUGAAGCCGGAAUCGCUAGUAAUCGCGGAUCAGCAUGCCGCGGUGAAUACGUUCCCGGGCCUUGUACACACCGCCCGUCACACCACGAGAGUUUGCAACACCCGAAGUCGGUGAGGUAACCCUUACGGGAGCCAGCCGCCGAAGGUGGGGCAAAUGAUUGGGGUGAAGUCGUAACAAGGUAGCCGUAUCGGAAGGUGCGGCUGGAUCACCUCCUUU